AUACGGAGGGGGCUAGCGUUGUUCGGAAUUACUGGGCGUAAAGCGUACGUAGGCGGACUGGAAAGUUGAGGGUGAAAUCCCGGGGCUCAACCCCGGAACUGCCUCCAAAACUUCCAAUCUAGAGAUCGAGAGAGGUGAGUGGAAUUCCAAGUGUAGAGGUGAAAUUCGUAGAUAUUUGGAGGAACACCAGUGGCGAAGGCGGCUCACUGGCUCGAUACUGACGCUGAGGUACGAAAGCGUGGGGAGCAAACAGGAUUAGAAACCCUAGUAGUCC
RNAcentral lists this ribosomal RNA (274 nucleotides) under uncultured bacterium. RNAcentral's name for it is "partial 16S ribosomal RNA". It matches the Rfam family "Bacterial small subunit ribosomal RNA", at positions 523 to 796 of the family's 1533-position model. The record is from RNAcentral.